This 253-nucleotide ribosomal RNA is filed under the name uncultured bacterium. Its description in RNAcentral is "partial 16S ribosomal RNA". It matches the Rfam family "Bacterial small subunit ribosomal RNA", at positions 524 to 776 of the family's 1533-position model. The record is from RNAcentral.
UACGUAGGGUCCGAGCGUUGUCCGGAAUUACUGGGCGUAAAGAGCUCGUAGGUGGUUUGUCGCGUUGUUCGUGAAAACUCACAGCUCAACUGUGGGCGUGCGGGCGAUACGGGCAGACUUGAGUACUGCAGGGGAGACUGGAAUUCCUGGUGUAGCGGUGGAAUGCGCAGAUAUCAGGAGGAACACCAAUGGCGAAGGCAGAUCUCUGGGCCGUAACUGACGCUGAGGAGCGAAAGCAUGGGGAGCGAACAGG